Molecule: ribosomal RNA, 459 nt
Filed under: uncultured bacterium
Lineage: Bacteria
Description: partial 16S ribosomal RNA
Rfam family: Bacterial small subunit ribosomal RNA
Source: RNAcentral
CCUACGGGAGGCAGCAGUGAGGAAUAUUGGUCAAUGGUCGGGAGACUGAACCAGCCAAGCCGCGUGAGGGAGGAAGGUACAGAGUAUCGUAAACCUCUUUUGUCAGGGAACAAAGGCGGGGACGUGUCCCCGGAUGAGUGUACCUGAAGAAAAAGCAUCGGCUAACUCCGUGCCAGCAGCCGCGGUAAUACGGAGGAUGCGAGCGUUAUCCGGAUUUAUUGGGUUUAAAGGGUGCGCAGGCGGUCUGUUAAGUCAGCGGUCAAAGCCCGGGGCUCACCCCCGGCCCGCCGUUGAAACUGGCAGUCGCGAGUUGGAGAGAAGUAGGCGGAAUGCGCGGUGUAGCGGUGAAAUGCAUAGAUAUCGCGCAGAACUCCGAUUGCGAAGGCAGCAUGCCGGCUCCACACUGACGCUGAGGCACGAAAGCGUGGGUAUCGAACAGGAUUAGAUACCCGGGUAGUC